CGCGGGGUGGAGCAGCCUGGUAGCNNUAGCUCGUUGGGCUCAUAACCCAAAGGUCGUCGGUUCAAAUCCGGCCCCCGCAACCA
RNAcentral lists this transfer RNA (83 nucleotides) under Nitrospira sp. RNAcentral describes it as "tRNA-Met". It matches the Rfam family "tRNA". From Rfam's summary of the family: Transfer RNA (tRNA) molecules are approximately 80 nucleotides in length. Their secondary structure includes four short double-helical elements and three loops (D, anti-codon, and T loops). The record is from RNAcentral. Lineage: Bacteria; Pseudomonadati; Nitrospirota; Nitrospiria; Nitrospirales; Nitrospiraceae.